RNAcentral lists this ribosomal RNA (493 nucleotides) under uncultured bacterium. Its description in RNAcentral is "SSU rRNA". It matches the Rfam family "Bacterial small subunit ribosomal RNA", at positions 26 to 510 of the family's 1533-position model. The record is from RNAcentral.
AGAGUGAACGCUGGCGGCGUGCUUAACACAUGCAAGUCGAGCGAAUUUCAGCAGUGUAUCGCUGGAGUUAGCGGCAGACGGGUGAGUAAUAUUUAGACAAUCUUCCCUCGAGUGGGAAACAACCUGAUGAAAAUCGGGCUAAUGUCCCAUAAGACCACAGAGUGGCAUCAUUCAGAGGUCAAAGGUCCGCAAGGGCCGCUGGAGGAGGAGUCUAAAUCCUAUCAUGGUAGUUGGUGAGGUAACGGCUCACCAAGCCUACGACGGGUAGCCGGCCUGAAAGGGUGAUCGGCCACACUGGCACUGAGACACGGGCCAGACUCCUACGGGAGGCAGCAGUGGGGAAUUUUGGACAAUGGGGGCAACCCUGAUCCAGCGACGCCGCGUGAAGGAUGAAGGUCUUCGGAUCGUAAACUUCUUUUAGAGGGAUGAAUGAGUUGGUGAAUAGCCAACUGUGACAGUACUCUUUGAAUAAGCCACGGCUAACUACGCGCCG